CUCCUGAUAGCUCAGUUGGUAGAGCGUUGGACUGUAAUUGAAAUGAAUAUUCCUAUGGAGAUCCACAGGUCGUGUGUUCGACUCACACUCAGGAGA
This 96-nucleotide transfer RNA is filed under the name Xylaria sp. FL1777. RNAcentral describes it as "tRNA-Tyr". It matches the Rfam family "tRNA". From Rfam's summary of the family: Transfer RNA (tRNA) molecules are approximately 80 nucleotides in length. Their secondary structure includes four short double-helical elements and three loops (D, anti-codon, and T loops). Lineage: Eukaryota; Fungi; Ascomycota; Sordariomycetes; Xylariales; Xylariaceae. The record is from RNAcentral.